This 406-nucleotide ribosomal RNA is filed under the name uncultured bacterium. RNAcentral describes it as "partial 16S ribosomal RNA". It matches the Rfam family "Bacterial small subunit ribosomal RNA", at positions 30 to 526 of the family's 1533-position model. The record is from RNAcentral.
AUUGAACGCUGGCGGCAGGCCUAACACAUGCAAGUCGAGCGAGCGGCGGACGGGUGAGUAAUGUCUGGGGAACUGCCUGAUGGAGGGGGAUAACUACUGGAAAAGGUAGCUAUUACCGCAUACCAUCGGAUGUGCCCCGAUGGGAUUAUCUAGUAGGUGAGGUAAAGGCUCCCCUAGGCGACGAUCCCUCGCUGGUCUGAGAGGAUGAUCAGCCACACUGGAACUGAGACACGGCCCAGACUCCUACGGGAGGCAGCAGUGGGGAAUAUUGCACAAGGGGCGCAAGCCUGAUGCAGCCAUGCCGCGUGUAUGAAGAAGGCCUUCGGGUUGUAAAGUACUUUCAGCGGGGAGGCGUUACCCGCAGAAGAAGCACCGGCUAACUCCGUGCCAGCAGCCGCGGUAAUAC